Molecule: small RNA, 29 nt
Filed under: Bombyx mori (domestic silkworm)
Lineage: Eukaryota; Metazoa; Arthropoda; Insecta; Lepidoptera; Bombycidae
Description: ovarian small RNA-16134
Source: RNAcentral
GAUCUAAGUGUGCGUGGGGCUACCCCUGU